UCCGGUUUAACACCGGCAGUCUCCCUAGAGUCCCCAACUUAAUGCUGGUAACUAAGGACAGGGGUUGCGCUCGUUGCCGGACUUAACCGAACAUCUUACGACACGAGCUGACGACAGCCAUGCAGCACCUAUCUCCACGCCUCCGAAGAGGAAGCCUCAUCUCUGAGGUUGUCGUGGGAUGUUAAACCCAGGUAAGGUUCUGCGCGUUGCUUCGAAUUAAACCACAUACUCCACCGCUUGUGCGGGCCCCCGUCAAUUCCUUUGAGUUUUAGCCUUGCGACCGUACUCCCCAGGCGGAAUACUUAAUGCGUUAGCUUUGGUACCCGAAGGGUUAAACUCUCCGGACACCUAGUAUUCAUCGUUUACGGCGUGGACUAC
Molecule: unclassified non-coding RNA, 378 nt
Filed under: uncultured Oligoflexaceae bacterium
Lineage: Bacteria; Pseudomonadati; Bdellovibrionota; Oligoflexia; Oligoflexales; Oligoflexaceae
Description: contains 16S-23S intergenic spacer region
Source: RNAcentral